CUCAAAUGCUGGCCCCUCCGGGAGCAUGGGGC
This 32-nucleotide non-coding RNA is filed under the name Geobacter sulfurreducens KN400. Lineage: Bacteria; Pseudomonadati; Thermodesulfobacteriota; Desulfuromonadia; Geobacterales; Geobacteraceae. The record is from RNAcentral.